ACCAUGAUAAAGCGGUAUUCUUUUGGUAUUCUUUCCUUUGAUGAUCGCAGGUGAGGUUGAAAAGAGUUUUCAGUAUGAUUCUUCUUUUCCUUUGCAGCAUCCAAAACUCCAUAUUAUAGCUGAUCUUCAUCUCUGAUCUGAAAAGCUUCACAGGCCAGAAGAGAAUUGAGAUGAAGAAGGAAAUAGAGAAUGCUGAUGAAUAUUUCCAAUUACCACCCCAACUUAUGUCUUGGCUCUUCGCAUCAAGCCAGAGCAGUUUCUUUGCCUCCGGAACCUGCAGACUGACCUCUCGUGUGUAUCUGUGGUGGACUGAGGGUAAUGUUUGUAACACACACUGAUGCUGUAUUGACUGUAACUUUCAGAAAAGAGAGCAAGAAGCUAACCUGCAUAGCAGUUUCUUAGGUUUCUGUACGUAUAUAUAUAUAUGCAUAUAUAUUUAAUUAUUUAUUUACUUAUUUAAAGAUAUCUUUUGUUCUCCAAAAUGAAUCCUCUGACUGUUACUAAUGUAUGGGACAUACCUUGACACUAUAAUGGUGUAUAAAUACUUUUCAUCUCAUCCUUGCUAUUGUUACUGUAUUUAAAAAAUAAUUGUGAAUAUAAUUACGUGCUUUUAUUCUUUUUUUAAAAAAAAUAUAUAUAUAUAUACACGUAUUCUAUUAUAAAAUCCUAUAAAAAGGAGUGCCAACCAGAAGGGAUAAACGUUCAUUCUCCUUGACUUUCCAUGUUCCAUCUGGGACAUAGAAUGGUUUUUCGUCACUUAAGACAACUCACUGUCUUUUUGUGAACUUUUCGUGAACUUGUCUUUGUAUUAUUUCAACGAAGUGAAUCAACAGGUAUAACUCAAAGGUUAUAAUGCAAUAGAUGAAGAGAGCAUUUGUAUCAAGCCUUUUUUCUUUAGGAAAAGAUGUCUCUGAAAAGCUAUACUAAGACAUAAAAUAACACAUAUGACAUAAAGUCGAGUUUGCAACAGGAAGAAGCUAAAUACAUUAAAGAACAGCUACACCUGCAGCUGCUGACAGAGAAUGAAACGAGAUCCACUGGGUCUCUCAUGCUCUCAGUGCAUCACACAAGAACAUCCCAGCUGCAGCUGCUGCCCCAAAAGGCAGUGCUAGCUAAAAGGCUCCAAUCGUUAAACAUGCACAACGAACAGGAUGUACACACACGUCUUUUUAAGAACAGCUGUUUUCCCCAAACCUGUUUGUGAAAUUUAUUUCAUGACUGAAGGUAGAAAACUAUAUACGCUCAUACACUGGUGUCAUCUUCCAAUUAAAACAUAUUUCAAACUAAGCUUUGGAAACUCACUUUUUUUAUGUUAGGAACUGAGUAACAGUGGUUGUG
RNAcentral lists this long non-coding RNA (1338 nucleotides) under Anser brachyrhynchus (Pink-footed goose). Its description in RNAcentral is "lncRNA (ENSABRG00000019899.1)". Lineage: Eukaryota; Metazoa; Chordata; Aves; Anseriformes; Anatidae. The record is from RNAcentral.